This 222-nucleotide long non-coding RNA is filed under the name Lathyrus oleraceus (garden pea). RNAcentral describes it as "Pisum sativum (pea) long non-coding RNA (PSAT_LNC028218)". The record is from RNAcentral. Lineage: Eukaryota; Viridiplantae; Streptophyta; Magnoliopsida; Fabales; Fabaceae.
UUUUAUUUCCUCGGUUUUCUUUUCUUAUUUCUUUUUCACCGACUGCCCUUUUCCGUGCUUCUUUCUUUUGAAUCUUCGAGUUGUCGAAUUUUUAUUUUUCUUUCUUUUUCUCGAUAUGUUUCUUUUAUUUCCUCGGUUUUCUUUUCUUAUUUCUUUUUCACCGACUGCCCUUUUCCGUGCUUCUUUCUUUUGAAUCUUCGAGUUGUCGAAUUUUUAUUUUUC